GGUUAAGCGACUAAGCGUACACGGUGGAUGCCCUGGCAGUCAGAGGCGAUGAAGGACGUGCUAAUCUGCGAAAAGCGUCGGUAAGGUGAUAUGAACCGUUACAGCCGGCGAUGUCCGAAUGGGGAAACCCAGUGUGAUUCGUCACACUAUCGUUAACUGAAUACAUAGGUUAACGAGGCGAACCGGGGGAACUGAAACAUCUAAGUACCCCGAGGAAAAGAAAUCAACCGAG
This 232-nucleotide ribosomal RNA is filed under the name Klebsiella pneumoniae. RNAcentral's name for it is "partial 23S ribosomal RNA". It matches the Rfam family "Bacterial large subunit ribosomal RNA", at positions 1 to 233 of the family's 2925-position model. Lineage: Bacteria; Pseudomonadati; Pseudomonadota; Gammaproteobacteria; Enterobacterales; Enterobacteriaceae. The record is from RNAcentral.